RNAcentral lists this ribosomal RNA (494 nucleotides) under uncultured bacterium. RNAcentral's name for it is "partial 16S ribosomal RNA". It matches the Rfam family "Bacterial small subunit ribosomal RNA", at positions 28 to 507 of the family's 1533-position model. The record is from RNAcentral.
GACGAACGCUGGCGGCGUGCUUAACACAUGCAAGCCGAACGGAAAGGCCUGCUUUCUCUUGUGGCGUGCGGGUACUCGAGUGGCGAACGGGUGAGUAACACGUGAGUCAUCUGCCCCCAACUUGGGUAUAAGCCAGGGAAACUGGGACUAAUUCCCGAUACGACUGCAGGGUGGUGCCUGUUGUGGAAACCGGUUUUCUAGUGGUUGGGGAUGAGCUCGCGGCCUAUCAGGUUGUUGGUGGGGCAAUGGCCUACCAAGGCGGCGAGCGGUAGCCGGCCUGGGAGCGGGCACAGCCGAACUGGGACUGGGACCAGGCCCCGACUGGUGGCAGAGGCAGGGAUUGGGGAUAUAGGAGCAUGAGCGGGAGCCUGAUGCAGCGACGGUGCGUAGAAGAUGACCGCGUUCGAGUUGUAAUCUCCUUACGACCAAGGGGAAGCGACCUGGUUGGUAGGGUGGUGACGGUAGUGGUAGAAGAAGCACCGGCUAACUACGUG